Molecule: ribosomal RNA, 112 nt
Filed under: Pteropus alecto (black flying fox)
Lineage: Eukaryota; Metazoa; Chordata; Mammalia; Chiroptera; Pteropodidae
Source: RNAcentral
GUCUACGGCCACGCCGCCCUGAAUAAUGAUGUCUGAUCUCAGAAGCUAAGCAGGGCCAGGCCUGGUUAGUACUGGAUGGCAGACCACCUAGGAAGACCAGGUGCUGUAGGCA